This 433-nucleotide ribosomal RNA is filed under the name uncultured Actinomycetes bacterium. RNAcentral's name for it is "bacterial SSU rRNA". It matches the Rfam family "Bacterial small subunit ribosomal RNA", at positions 38 to 464 of the family's 1533-position model. Lineage: Bacteria; Bacillati; Actinomycetota; Actinomycetes. The record is from RNAcentral.
GGCGGCGUGCUUAACACAUGCAAGUGGUGCGACGAACCGGGCUUCGGCCCGGGGCAAAGCCGCGAACGGGUGAGUAACACGUGGGUAAUCUGCCCCAAUGACUGGGACAACCCGGGGAAACCCGGGCUAAUACCAGAUGUGCUCUCCAUCCUUCGGGACGGAGAGGAAAGGUAGCUUCGGCCUCCGCAUUGGGAUGAGCCCGCGGCCCAUUAGCUUGUUGGUGAGGUAACGGCUCACCAAGGCUGCGAUGGGUAGCUGGUCUGAGAGGACGAUCAGCCACACUGGGACUGAGACACGGCCCAGACUCCUACGGGAGGCAGCAGUGGGGAAUCUUGCGCAAUGCGCGAAAGCGUGACGCAGCAACGCCGCGUGGGGGAAGACGGCCUUCGGGUUGUNAACCCCUUUCAGUUGGGACGAANCCUUCCCUGGUUAA